GAUUAAUACCCGAUAGCAUAAUGAUUCCGCAUGGUUUCAUUAUUAAAGGAUUCCGGUAAAGGAUGGGGAUGCGUUCCAUUAGGUUGUUGGUGGGGUAACGGCCCACCAAGCCUUCGAUGGAUAGGGGUUCUGAGAGGAAGGUCCCCCCACAUUGGAACUGAGACACGGUCCAAACUCCUACGGGAGGCAGCAUG
Molecule: ribosomal RNA, 194 nt
Filed under: uncultured bacterium
Lineage: Bacteria
Description: partial 16S ribosomal RNA
Rfam family: Bacterial small subunit ribosomal RNA
Source: RNAcentral